ACUCCUACGGGAGGCAGCAGUGGGGAAUAUUGCACAAUGGGAAGGCCAUCGAUGCAGCCAUGCCGCGCUGUGUGAAGAAGGCCAAUUCGGGCUUGUAAGACACUUUCAGUAGGGAGGAAGGUAGUGUAGUUAACACCUGCAUUAUUUGACGUUACCUACAGAAGAAGCACCGGCUAACUCCGUGCCAGCAGCCGCGGUAAUACGGAGGGUGCGAGCGUUAAUCGGAAUUACUGGGCGUAAAGCGCAUGCAGGCGGCCUGUUAAGUCAGAUGUGAAAG
This 277-nucleotide ribosomal RNA is filed under the name uncultured bacterium. RNAcentral describes it as "partial 16S ribosomal RNA". It matches the Rfam family "Bacterial small subunit ribosomal RNA", at positions 335 to 600 of the family's 1533-position model. The record is from RNAcentral.